This 253-nucleotide ribosomal RNA is filed under the name uncultured bacterium. RNAcentral describes it as "partial 16S ribosomal RNA". It matches the Rfam family "Bacterial small subunit ribosomal RNA", at positions 524 to 776 of the family's 1533-position model. The record is from RNAcentral.
UACGGAGGGUGCAAGCGUUAUCCGAAUUUAUUGGGCGUAAAGAGUUCGUAGGCAGUUUUGUAAGUUGUCUUUCAAAGACCGAGGCUUAACCUCGGGAGGGGGGACAAUACUACAUUGCUUGAAGAAUGCAGGGGCUACUGGAACUGUCGGUGUAGGAGUGAAAUCCGUUGAUAUCGACAGGAACACAGAGGGCGAAGGCAAGUAGCUGGGCAUUUUUUGACGCUGAGGAACGAAAGCUAGGGGAGCGAAAGGG